UGUUUCGGCUAGGGGGCCAUCCCGGCUUACCAACCCGAUGCAAACUGCGAAUACCGGAGAAUGUUAUCACGGGAGACACACGGCGGGUGCUAACGUCCGUCGUGAAGAGGGAAACAACCCAGACCGCCAGCUAAGGUCCCAAAGUCAUGGUUAAGUGGGAAACGAUGUGGGAAGGCCCAGACAGCCAGGAUGUUGGCUUAGAAGCAGCCAUCAUUUAAAGAAAGCGUAAUAGCUCACUGGUCGAGUCGGCCUGCGCGGAAGAUGUAACGGGGCUAAACCAUGCACCGAAGCUGCGGCAGCGACACUGUGUGUUGUUGGGUAGGGGAGCGUUCUGUAAGCCUGUGAAGGUGUGCUGUGAGGCAUGCUGGAGGUAUCAGAAGUGCGAAUGCUGACAUAAGUAACGAUAAAGCGGGUGAAAAGCCCGCUCGCCGGAAGACCAAGGGUUCCUGUCCAACGUUAAUCGGGGCAGGGUGAGUCGACCCCUAAGGCGAGGCCGAAAGGCGUAGUCGAUGGGAAACGGGUUAAUAUUCCCGUACUUGGUGUUACUGCGAAGGGGGGACGGAGAAGGCUAUGUUGGCCGGGCGACGGUUGUCCCGGUUUAAGCGUGUAGGUGUGUGUUCCAGGUAAAUCCGGUUCACUUUAACACUGAGGCGUGAUGACGAGGCACUACGGUGCUGAAGCAACAAAUGCCCUGCUUCCAGGAAAAGCCUCUAAGCAUCAGGUAACAUCAAAUCGUACCCCAAACCGACACAGGUGGUCAGGUAGAGAAUACCAAGGCGCUUGAGAGAACUCGGGUGAAGGAACUAGGCAAAAUGGUGCCGUAACUUCGGGAGAAGGCACGCUGACACGUAGGUGAAGUGAUUUACUCACGGAGCUGAAGUCAGUCGAAGAUACCAGCUGGCUGCAACUGUUUAUUAAAAACACAGCACUGUGCAAACACGAAAGUGGACGUAUACGGUGUGACGCCUGCCCGGUGCCGGAAGGUUAAUUGAUGGGGUCAGCGCAAGCGAAGCUCCUGAUCGAAGCCCCGGUAAACGGCGGCCGUAACUAUAACGGUCCUAAGGUAGCGAAAUUCCUUGUCGGGUAAGUUCCGACCUGCACGAAUGGCGUAAUGAUGGCCAGGCUGUCUCCACCCGAGACUCAGUGAAAUUGAACUCGCUGUGAAGAUGCAGUGUACCCGCGGCAAGACGGAAAGACCCCGUGAACCUUUACUAUAGCUUGACACUGAACAUUGAGCCUUGAUGUGUAGGAUAGGUGGGAGGCUUUGAAGCGUGGACGCCAGUCUGCGUGGAGCCGACCUUGAAAUACCACCCUUUAAUGUUUGAUGUUCUAACGUGGACCCGUGAUCCGGGUUGCGGACAGUGUCUGGUGGGUAGUUUGACUGGGGCGGUCUCCUCCUAAAGAGUAACGGAGGAGCACGAAGGUUGGCUAAUCCUGGUCGGACAUCAGGAGGUUAGUGCAAUGGCAUAAGCCAGCUUGACUGCGAGCGUGACGGCGCGAGCAGGUGCGAAAGCAGGUCAUAGUGAUCCGGUGGUUCUGAAUGGAAGGGCCAUCGCUCAACGGAUAAAAGGUACUCCGGGGAUAACAGGCUGAUACCGCCCAAGAGUUCAUAUCGACGGCGGUGUUUGGCACCUCGAUGUCGGCUCAUCACAUCCUGGGGCUGAAGUAGGUCCCAAGGGUAUGGCUGUUCGCCAUUUAAAGUGGUACGCGAGCUGGGUUUAGAACGUCGUGAGACAGUUCGGUCCCUAUCUGCCGUGGGCGCUGGAGAACUGAGGGGGGCUGCUCCUAGUACGAGAGGACCGGAGUGGACGCAUCACUGGUGUUCGGGUUGUCAUGCCAAUGGCACUGCCCGGUAGCUAAAUGCGGAAGAGAUAAGUGCUGAAAGCAUCUAAGCACGAAACUUGCCCCGAGAUGAGUUCUCCCUGAGACUACGAGUCUCCUGAAGGAACGUUGAAGACGACGACGUUGAUAGGCCGGGUGUGUAAGCGCAGCGAUGCGUUGAGCUAACCGGUACUAAUGAACCGUGAGGCUUAACCUUACAACGCCGAAG
RNAcentral lists this ribosomal RNA (2050 nucleotides) under Salmonella enterica. RNAcentral describes it as "partial 23S ribosomal RNA". It matches the Rfam family "Bacterial large subunit ribosomal RNA", at positions 911 to 2925 of the family's 2925-position model. The record is from RNAcentral. Lineage: Bacteria; Pseudomonadati; Pseudomonadota; Gammaproteobacteria; Enterobacterales; Enterobacteriaceae.